ACCGUUUAUUCUGAGAAAUCUCUGUGGAUCGGUGCUAGUACCAAGCGUGAAUAAUAAUUAACCAAGGUAUGUGGGCCGUAGGCUACAACAAGUGAUCGGUUUAAUUUAUGUGAAUUAAGUUUAUAGGACAGAGGUCAGGAGCCCGUUCCGUCGUUGCAGCCUGAGUGCGCAUAAGUACAUAGACGGGGUGCUCCACGAGAGGAGUAUCACCGAAGUGAUCCUCCAACCUAAAAGGGGUACCCUUCGACCCCCCUCUACUGACGGAAACGCUGAGCACCGAAAACCUCUGACUUGGGUCAACUUUAUUGAGGCGUAGCAACCCUUAGGAAGCCCAGUGCAAAAGGGGGCGCCUCGGAAACUUUAUUCAACUCCAGUGAGAAGACCAGUUUGUCGCGCACUGUAGUGCCAAUGUAAGCUGCAGCUUGACCUGCAGUCGGAUGUUCCCCACUUAAGCCCAGUGUGAAGAAGACCAGAACAUUGGGCGUGAUUUUUGACGGGCAUGCCUACAGAGUAGCCGCCGCCGACGCUACAGAAAGAUGUCCGUAGUUGCUCUGUGUUAACUUACACAUUUUCGGGAUUUGAGUUAAUAUGCCUUUUUAAGGCCAAUUCUCUGACGGAGAUAUAUAGAUAUGUAUUUUUUUUUUGAGCAUCGGGAAUUAUGAGUGUUGGUAGAAAAGAGUGGAAACCAGCACCUACGUCAUCCAUGAGCUCAUCGAUUACGAAAGGAGUAAGGGUUUUAAAAUAUCAAAACCAAACGAAAACUGUGAGUUUGUAAACUU
Molecule: long non-coding RNA, 779 nt
Organism: Drosophila subobscura
Lineage: Eukaryota; Metazoa; Arthropoda; Insecta; Diptera; Drosophilidae
Exons: 2
Source: RefSeq, a predicted model, not a curated record